Molecule: ribosomal RNA, 258 nt
Filed under: uncultured archaeon
Lineage: Archaea
Description: partial 16S ribosomal RNA
Rfam family: Archaeal small subunit ribosomal RNA
Source: RNAcentral
UAGGCGUAAAUGAUGCGAGUUAAGUGUGGGGCAUCUACGAGAUGGCCCUGUGCUGUAGGGUAGCCGUUAAACUCGCUGCCUGGGGAGUACGGUCGCAAGGCUGAAACUUAAGGAUUGGCGGGGGAGCACCACAAGAGGUGGAGGCUGCGGUUCAAUUGGACUCAACGCCGGAAAACUCAUCGGGAGCGACAGCAGUAUGAUUGCCAGGUUGAUGACCUUGCUUGACAAGCUGAGAGGAGGUGCAUGGCGUAGUCGUGU